UGACUGACUGUUCACGAAGGCACUACUAACUGAAGUCCAGCUGUGACAGACCAGAGGCAUUGUGCAUUUGAAGGAAGGAUGAGCACCCGUUAUCUGUGUGGUGAGGCUGAACACCGCUUGCAACAAUAGUACCUGAUCUUCAAGAUCUCAGCCACAGGUCAGUGUUUUGUGAACCCACUGAAGAAUCUGUGCCUUUCAAGAAACUCCAGAAAAUUAAUUCUGACCCCCAUCCUGCUAAGCUGGGAUGAGUGUCUCCAGUCAACCAGCUUGGAUUAUAAAUGACCAAUGGAAACGAUGAGGCCCCAUUCCUGCAAGUAAGUCUUGAUCUCAUCUGACAAGAUACCAUUUUUGAUUAGCAAGUGAAACCUGUAGUCUGUGCCCUGUCUGAACAGAAUGGGAAUAUGGUUGAAAAAAUAUACCCAGUCAUAGUACUAGCAGAUAAUUUAUAAUCAAAGCAUAUUAUAAUUAUGGUUUAUAAAUGAGGUGUUUAUAACCAUUUACCUGUCAAUAGGUAAAU
This 517-nucleotide long non-coding RNA is filed under the name Calidris pygmaea (Spoon-billed sandpiper). RNAcentral's name for it is "lncRNA (ENSCPGG00000002331.1)". The record is from RNAcentral. Lineage: Eukaryota; Metazoa; Chordata; Aves; Charadriiformes; Scolopacidae.